UGCCGGGACUAGGGGAGGAAGGCCAGAGGGUGGCCCCUGGUCCCCCAAUGCAGGAGAGCCCCUCCUAACGCUGUUUUUCCCCCUUUGCCUGCCCUCUGUGAAAGCGGAGCAGCAGCGACAGAGGCGACGGGGGGGAGGGACUGUACAAAGCCGCGGGAAGCUGCAAAGCAGAGUGAGACGGCAGCAAAAGCGGCAAUAGACGGAACCUGCGUAACCGCUGCGGCGAGAGCUCAGUACCAAGCGCAUGGCUGCGACCACAUGGCCACGCUGCAGGACAAUGGCGAGCGGAUGAGGACACCUGCUACAGAUAUGCCAACUAUCAGCACUCGCCGUCUGAAGACAGUGUGGACCAAGGCCCAAACUGGAAGUGAUAAGGAAGAGCCAAAACCACAGCCAAGAAACACGCAUGCUCUAAAAAGGCAGACCCAAGGAUGGGCCAUGUAAAAUAGUUCCUGGAAAAUGUAAACUAGUUUUUGCAUAUGCAUAAGGGUCUAUGAAUAUGCAACAGGAUUGUGUAAUGGAAAAGGUAUUUAAGGGGUAUCCCCUAAGGUGACGGCAUGGUCUUGGCUCAGUGCCAAGAUGCACCCGGCCAUAAUAACCUUUGCUCUAUAGUCCUUGUCUCCUAUUGUCCUUUAUUAAACUUUUAAAAUUUUCA
Long non-coding RNA from Agelaius phoeniceus (red-winged blackbird), 655 nucleotides. RefSeq lists it as uncharacterized. NCBI's taxonomy places the organism in Eukaryota, Metazoa, Chordata, Aves, Passeriformes, Icteridae. The record is from RefSeq and is a predicted model, not a curated record.